This 417-nucleotide unclassified non-coding RNA is filed under the name soil metagenome. RNAcentral describes it as "partial contains 5.8S ribosomal RNA, internal transcribed spacer 2, and large subunit ribosomal RNA". The stretch from base 1 to 120 matches the Rfam family "5.8S ribosomal RNA", at positions 35 to 154 of the family's 154-position model. The record is from RNAcentral.
GAUGAAGAACGCAGCGAAAUGCGAUAAGUAAUGUGAAUUGCAGAAUUCAGUGAAUCAUCGAAUCUUUGAACGCAUCUUGCGCUCCUUGGUAUUCCUUGGAGCAUGCCUGUUUGAGUAUCAUGAGCAAAUCUCAAAGUCAAUUCCUUUUGUUAAUUCAAUUGGUUUUGCUUUGGACUUGGAGGUCUUGCAGAUUUUCACAGUCUGCUCCUCUUAAAUGCAUUAGCUGGAUCUCAGUAAUUAUGCUUGGUUCCACUCGGCGUGAUAAGUAUCACUCGCUGAGGACACUGUUAAAAAGGUGGCCAGGAAAAUACUGAUUGAACCGCUUCUAACGGUCUAUUAAGUUAGACAAUUACCCUUAAGUUUGAUCUCAAAUCAGGUAGGACUACCCGCUGAACUUAAGCAUAUCAAAGCGGAGGA